RNAcentral lists this ribosomal RNA (440 nucleotides) under uncultured bacterium. RNAcentral describes it as "partial 16S ribosomal RNA". It matches the Rfam family "Bacterial small subunit ribosomal RNA", at positions 338 to 795 of the family's 1533-position model. The record is from RNAcentral.
CCUACGGGAGGCAGCAGUGGGGAAUAUUGCACAAUGGGGGAAACCCUGAUGCAGCGACGCCGCGUGAGUGAAGAAGUAGUUCGGUACGUAAAGCUCUAUCAGCAGGGAAGAAAAUGACGGUACCUGACUAAGAAGCCCCGGCUAACGACGUGCCAGCAGCCGCGGUAAUACGUAGGGGGCAAGCGUUAUCCGGAUUUACUGGGUGUAAAGGGAGCGUAGACGGCAGCGCAAGUCUGGAGUGAAAUCCCAUGGCUUAACCAUGGAACUGCUUUGGAAACUGUGCAGCUAGAGUGCAGGAGAGGUAAGCGGAAUUCCUAGUGUAGCGGUGAAAUGCGUAGAUAUUAGGAGGAACACCAGUGGCGAAGGCGGCUUACUGGACUGUAACUGACGUUGAGGCUCGAAAGCGUGGGGAGCAAACAGGAUUAGAUACCCUUGUAGUC